GGUGCACCAGGCGCGAAAACUUUGCAAUGCGGGAAACCGUGACAAGGGAACUCUGAGUGCCCGUUAAAUCGGGCUGUCCAUCGGUUUAAAUAACCGGUGAAGAAAGGGCCGGGCAAGACCGGUGCCAGCCGCCGCGGUAAUACCGGCGGCUCGAGUGGUGGCCACUAUUACUGGGCUUAAAGCGUUCGUAGCUGGUUUGUUAAGUCUCUGGGGAAAUCUUCCGGCUUAACCGGAAGGCGUCUCAGGGAUACUGGCAGACUAGGGACCGGGAGAGGUGAGAGGUACUCCAGGGGUAGGAGUGAAAUCCUGUAAUCCUUGGGGGACCACCUGUGGCGAAGGCGUCUCACCAGAACGGCUCCGACAGUGAGGGACGAAAGCUGGGGGAGCAAACCGGAUUAGAUACCCGGGUAGUCCCAGCUGUAAACGAUGCGCGUUAGGUGUAUCGGUGACCACGAGUCACCGAGGUGCCGAAGAGAAAUCGUGAAACGUGCCGCCUGGGAAGUACGGUCGCAAGGCUGAAACUUAAAGGAAUUGGCGGGGGAGCAC
RNAcentral lists this ribosomal RNA (546 nucleotides) under uncultured archaeon. RNAcentral describes it as "bacterial SSU rRNA". It matches the Rfam family "Archaeal small subunit ribosomal RNA", at positions 329 to 879 of the family's 1478-position model. The record is from RNAcentral.